UGCGAGUCAAGGGACUCUUUUGAGUACCGGCGAACGGCUCAGUAACACGUGGCUAACCUACCCUCGGGUGGGGGAUAACCUCGGGAAACUGAGGCUAAUACCCCAUAGGGGAAGAGGUCUGGAACGAUCCUUCCUCGAAAGCAUUAGCGCCCGAGGAUGGGGCUGCGGCGGAUUAGGUAGUUGGUGGGGUAACGGCCCACCAAGCCUACGAUCCGUACGGGCCCUGAGAGGGGGAGCCCGGAGAUGGACACUGAGACACGGGUCCGGGCCCUACGGGGCGCAGCAGGCGCGAAACCUCCGCAAUGUGCGAAAGCGCGACGGGGGGACCCCGAGUGCUCAUGCUCUGCAUGAGCUUUUCCGGAGUGUAAACAGCUUCGGGAAUAAGGGCUGGGCAAGUCCGGUGCCAGCAGCCGCGGUAAUACCGGCGGCCCAAGUGGUGGCCACUUUUAUUGGGCCUAAAGCGUCCGUAGCCGGCUCGGUAAGUCUCUGCUUAAAUCCUGCGGCUUAACCGCAGGGCUGGCAGAGAUACUGCCGAGCUUGGGACCGGGAGAGGGCGAGGGUACUCCAGGGGUAGCGGUGAAAUGCGUUGAUC
RNAcentral lists this ribosomal RNA (592 nucleotides) under uncultured archaeon. RNAcentral's name for it is "bacterial SSU rRNA". It matches the Rfam family "Archaeal small subunit ribosomal RNA", at positions 52 to 647 of the family's 1478-position model. The record is from RNAcentral.